AGAUUGAACGCUGGCGGCGUGCCUAACACAUGCAAGUCGAGCGGUAACAGGUGUAGCAAUACAUGCUGACGAGCGGCGAACGGGUGAGUAAUGCUUUGGAAUCUUCCCAGUAGUGGGGAAUAACCAGUCGAAAGAUUGGCUAAUACCGCAUACGUCUGUAAAGGGAAAGCGGGGGCUCGUAAGACCUCGCGCUAUUGGAUGAGCCAAAGUCGGAUUAGCUUGUUGGUGGGGUAAUGGCCUACCAAGGCGACAAUCCGUAGCUGGUCUGAGAGGACGACCAGCCACACCGGAACUGAGACACGGUCCGGACUCCUACGGGAGGCAGCAGUGGGGAAUAUUGGACAAUGGGGGAAACCCUGAUCCAGCGACGCCGCGUGUGUGAAGAAGGCCUGCGGGUUGUAAAGCACUUUUAGUGGGGACAAAAGCUACGGAUUAAUACUCUGUGGUCUUGAUUUAACCCAAAGAAAAGCACCGGCUAACUCUGUGCCAGCAGCCGC
RNAcentral lists this ribosomal RNA (497 nucleotides) under uncultured bacterium. RNAcentral describes it as "SSU rRNA". It matches the Rfam family "Bacterial small subunit ribosomal RNA", at positions 26 to 518 of the family's 1533-position model. The record is from RNAcentral.